Molecule: long non-coding RNA, 558 nt
Filed under: Anser brachyrhynchus (Pink-footed goose)
Lineage: Eukaryota; Metazoa; Chordata; Aves; Anseriformes; Anatidae
Description: lncRNA (ENSABRG00000000966.1)
Source: RNAcentral
CAUUCUGUGCUACACAGCAAGAGAGCAGUAAGUUAUCAGACAUAGGGACUGAAGGGGAAGAUGAAGAUAGCCUUCUCAUUCCAUAAGAAGUGGGAAGUGAAGCAGCAAAGAAGACAGGAGGACUGAUUCAGGAAGAUAACACAGCAGCUUACAACAUGGAGGACAAGAGAGAUCCUUAAAGGUCUGGACCUUUUUGAGAGAAACACUGUAAAGUACAGCGGGUGGCUGGAUAUAAUCUAGACUUGGCCCCAUAUUCUGGGAAUCCAAAUUAUUGCGCUUGCCUGUCCCUGGAAGCAAUGAAGAACUCCUCUUGGCCCAUGAACUGCCUCGUAUUGCACCAGAUUAAAAGCAUGAAACAGCAUGGAGAAACACAGGAAAGCUUGUCUCUGCAGUCAGGCAAAGAUGAGGACAUGAAGAUGUAUAACUGUCCCAGGUGUGAGAAUAGUACAGUUUACCCCCUCAGGAUUUGUAACAGGUUUGCCUGAAGGAGAAUGAAGUAGGGUAAGAUUAGAGAAAGAACCUUGGCAUUUCUUCAUUGUGCAUUUUCAGCGUGGUAGU